This 574-nucleotide ribosomal RNA is filed under the name Liangdongia berthetii. RNAcentral's name for it is "eukaryotic LSU rRNA". It matches the Rfam family "Eukaryotic large subunit ribosomal RNA", at positions 62 to 650 of the family's 3401-position model. Lineage: Eukaryota; Fungi; Ascomycota; Saccharomycetes; Phaffomycetales; Wickerhamomycetaceae. The record is from RNAcentral.
AAACCAACAGGGAUUGCCUCAGUAACGGCGAGUGAAGCGGCAAGAGCUCAAAUUUGAAAUCUGGUAGUUUUACUGCCCGAGUUGUAAUUUGAAGAGUCCAACCUUGGGUUGCAGCACUGUCUAUGUUUCUUGGAACAGGACGUCACAGAGGGUGAGAAUCCCGUGAGGUGGUGCGUUUGCUUCUCUUGUAGGUUGUUCUCGACGAGUCGAGUUGUUUGGGAAUGCAGCUCUAAGUGGGUGGUAAAUUCCAUCUAAAGCUAAAUAUUGGCGAGAGACCGAUAGCGAACAAGUACAGUGAUGGAAAGAUGAAAAGAACUUUGAAAAGAGAGUGAAAAAGUACGUGAAAUUGUUGAAAGGGAAGGGCAUUAGAUUAGACUUGGCGCUUCAGGCACAUCCUCCUCUUGUAGGGGGUGCACUCCUGUUGUGCUGGGCCAGCAUCGAUUUGUGCGGUGGGAUAAAACCUUUGGGAUGUAGCUACACUUGUGUAGUAUUAUAAACAGAGGGCAUGCCACCAGCGUAGAUCGAGGACUGCGUCUUUUGACUAGGAUGCUGGCGUAAUGAUCUAAUGCCGCCC